Non-coding RNA from Gossypium raimondii (Peruvian cotton), 132 nucleotides. NCBI's taxonomy places the organism in Eukaryota, Viridiplantae, Streptophyta, Magnoliopsida, Malvales, Malvaceae. The record is from Rfam.
UAUUAAAAAUUUCAUCCAUUCAUAGUGUUAAAAACUGGCGUGGUUGAUGGAAUAACAUAUAAUGACACGUGUACUACAUGCUGAUAUAAAAUAACCAGUUUUUAACAGUAAAAAUAGAUGAAACUUUUAACA